Molossus molossus (Pallas's mastiff bat) is the source of this 127-nucleotide small nucleolar RNA. RefSeq annotates it as small nucleolar RNA SNORA57. The record is from RefSeq and is a predicted model, not a curated record. Lineage: Eukaryota; Metazoa; Chordata; Mammalia; Chiroptera; Molossidae. The transcript has a single exon.
AAUCUUUUUCUUGGUGGGGAUUGAGCAUGCUGUUCUAGUCCCAGUAAUGUCCUGCUCCAACCCUCUUGGGGUCUUUGGUGCCGGUAGCUUCUGUUCAUAGGUUCUAUCCUCAAGCACUGGGACAUGG